RNAcentral lists this long non-coding RNA (14286 nucleotides) under Oryza sativa (Asian cultivated rice). RNAcentral describes it as "long non-coding RNA (OSAT_LNC001733)". Lineage: Eukaryota; Viridiplantae; Streptophyta; Magnoliopsida; Poales; Poaceae. The record is from RNAcentral.
GAGACAACCAAUUCCAUGGGGUGUUACCUAACAAUAGUAGAGAGGGGUGCAAUCUUCAGUCAAUAGAUGUGAAUGGAAACCAAAUUGAAGGUAAACUACCUAGAUCACUAUCAUACUGCCAAGAUUUGGAGCUCCUGGAUGCUGGAAAUAAUCAGAUUGUUGAUUCUUUUCCAUUUUGGUUGGGUAAACUUCCAAAUCUCCGAGUCCUUGUCUUAAGAUCCAACAAAAUAAAUGGUACAAUAAGGGGUCUUAAAAGUGGUUACCAAAAUAGUGAUUAUUUCACAAGGUUGCAAAUAAUUGAUUUGGCCUCCAAUCAUUUAUCUGGCAACAUACAUUCAGAAUGGUUUGAACAUUUGCAAUCAAUGAUGAAUGUAACUGAUGACGACCAAAUAUUAGAGUAUCGUACGAAAGCAAGUAUAAAAUCGCUCUAUCAGGAUAAUACGGCUGUCACUUACAAAGGGAACACUCUUAUGUUCACUAAAAUCCUGACCACCUUCAAAGCAAUUGAUCUCUCAGACAACUCAUUUGGUGGUCCUAUUCCAAAGUCAAUGGGGGAAGCUUGCUUCACUACAUGGAUUUAACCUGUCCCACAAUGCCUUCACAGGACAAAUUCCAUCACAGCUUAGUUCUUUGACUCAGCUGGAGUCAUUGGAUCUCUCUUGGAACAAGCUCUCAGGGGAAAUCCCUCUACAGUUAACCUCUCUAACCUCUCUUGCUUCGUUGAUCUUUCAUACAACAACUUGACUGGAAGAAUACCGCAGGGCAACCAGUUUGGGUCAUUUAGCAGCAGCUCGUUUGAAGGCAAUGCCAACCUCUGUGGAAAGCCGUUGUCUAAACAAUGUGAUACUCCAGGCUCAACAUCUCGAAAUGCAUCAGCUACUUCAGAAACCAGCAGUUUCUGGCAGGACAGACUUGGCGUGAUCCUUUUGUUCUUCUUUUCUGGCUUGGGGUUCACAGUGGGCUUCAUAUUGGCGGUCUGGUUCCAAUCAUUCUUCCACAUAGAACGAUGGACUCACAAGCAUUGAUGACUGUUAGUAUACUGUAUACACUAUGUAUGGUGUUUAUCCACCCAAGGACAUGAUAUGUGUGUAUGUGUGUACUCGUAAUUAGUGACAGGUGAAGUCCAUUCUCUGUUGAUAAUAAUGCAUAAUUUUGUGUAUGUGAUUACCAAAAUAGUGGGGUAGUGGCGACAUCUAUAACUGUAUAAGAAAUGUGCUCUUUGCACUGACCUAUGCGCUGGCACAUUUCCUCGAACACCUGGUGCCCUGGUGGUGGUGAUGGAAGAAGAGCGCGACGACGAGGCAACGAGCAGACCGACGGACAGUCGGACACGCUGUUCCUGGGACAUCCCCAUGGCGACCCCAUUGAGAGCCGACUGCAAGAUCUCAAUAUCUGCAACCCUGGAUACCAUCAUCCUCUCUGCUUCGUCUCCGCCUCAUCCUCACCCCUGACCCCUAACCAUUCCGGCGAGGUCCAACCAAGAGGUGGUGGUUAUCUCGGAUUGGGAUGUACGGCGUGUGGGGGGAGCGGGAUUGGCAGAGUACUCCGAGUGGGAUGUGGUGGAGGAGAAGGACGACGAGGGGUGGAAAUCUCUCGGCAGCUGGCGGCGGCGGCGUAGGCGCGUAGUUACUCUAGGACGGCGCGCGUGUUGGGCAGGGGGUGUGUAGGCGGGAGAGAGAUCGAGAGAGUAUGACGCCCGCGGCGCACUACCUUCGGCUUCAAAGCAGAUGCGGAGAUGCAUGCUAGACCGGGCUCAGAGCCCGUCCGUUUUCAGCCGCUACUGCCUUCGAUCCGCUGUCUCACGUCUUCAAUUCGUACGUGUCGCCGUCGAAUUGGGAUGAAGAUAUAGACAAAUUUGAUAAUGUACCACGUCUUAGAGCAAGUUUAAUAGUAUGAGUCUCGCUCCGAUGCUUUUUACUUGAGUAGAAAUUAAUCCGUGCCGUUGAUCGUAUUUAAUCGUAGGGUUAAGAUCUAAUUCUACUCCCACUAGAUUUUAUUAGAGUAGAAAUGUGGAGGGCUAUAUUUGUUCAGAGAUAAUAAUUUGCGUAGGGGUAUUAUCGUAAUCUGUCAUUAUCUAACUGUUCACCCUCUCUCUAUCCUAUCCUAAUCGACACCAUUCCUCUCCAUUCGCCGUCGAAGACGAAGGCGAGCGUGUUUAUCGUCUGCGUGCCAGCGACGAACCGAUCGAUUUGGAGACAAUCGUCAGAUAUGUUGAUGAGAAAAAUGUUUACUAAUCUCUGAAGAUUAAUCUGUUCUUACUUAUGAUGACCAUCGUAUCGGAACGUCUUUGUGGAUGGUGCUGAUGACGGCGGCGUCGCUGGUGAAAACGCCGCCGCCGAACUACAUGCCAGCGGCGAGGAAGGCCGUCAGUCCAGCGCCGAGGACGAUGGCGAGCUACAGCACGCGGGCAGUAGUCACCGCCACCUUGUAGUGAUCCGCAAACGCGCUGGCAAGCAAGGCCUGAGGUUGAUUGAUCAAUUUAAGCAAAGUUAAUUAAGCAGCCAUGCAUAUAUCAUCGGAAUGUAGGCUAAGCUAGGUAGGUAGGUAGGUAGGUAGCUCACCUGGCCAGCGACGGCGAGGCCGUCGGCGAGGAGCGAUGUGGCGAGCCAGACCUAGGCGCAGAGCUGGAACGCCGCCAUGGCCGUCACGCCGUGGCGCGUCGCCAGCGACGCCGCCAGCGUCACGCAGAACGUCACGGCCACCACUCUCGUCCGGAUAUUAGGAGAUUACUUACCUGCCCUUUAAAAUAAACGGUCUAGAUUAAUUCUAUUCGGAGUAGAAUACUUCAAGUAUAUUGCACCAGAGCAUCUCUCUAAUAGUAUAGCCAACUACUAGCUCCAAAUCAUCUAUAGUCAAUUUAAUAGCCAAUUCAUACAAUAGUUACAUACUACACUAUUAAUAUCUGGUCCCACCUGUCAUACACACACUGUGUCUUGGUGUCCGUGCUACAGCUGGCUACAAAUCUAUAGCCCGCUGCUCUUCUCUCUUCUCUUUUAUCUCCUUAAAAUAUAUUUAUAGCUGAUUUAUAGCCUGCUACUGUACCUGCUCUUACUGUCUUUUGUUUUUUUACCACUCUAAUUCUCUAAAAUUACUCCUUUGAUAAUAUCACCCGCCAUCAGGAUCGCGAUUUUUUUUUUCAAAUUUUGUGCCACUUUCUCGUUGAGUAGGAAGGGGAUGAACCCGUCGCUCCCCUUUGCCUGUCGCACAGCACGCGACCACCACCGAGGUCCGUCGCCGGCACCAGCUUUAUCUGGCCAAAAUAGUACUCCAUCCGUUUCAAAAUGUUUGACACAUUUGACUUUUUAGCACAUGUUUGACCGUUUGUUUUAUUAAAAUAAUUUUGUGAAAUAUGUAAAACUAUAUGUGUACAUGAAAGUAUAUUUAACAAUGAAUCAAAUGAUAUAAAAUGAAUAAAUAAUUACUUAAAUUUUUUGAAUAAGACGAAUGAUCAAACACGUACUAAAAAGUCAACGGUGUCAAACAUUUUGAAAUGGAGGGAGUAUUAGUAAGGCCUUUACAUUGGCUGCGGCUUCACUGUUCCGUUGUUGUGUUUCCAUCCGUGUUCCGUACCACGUGGAGGGCAUCGGUUUGUCGAUUCUUUUUGGUGGUGGGGUCGGCUUCUAUCUGCCGUGCAGAAUAUGACGCCGUCACUACUCCGUCAAAACAAACCGGGUACUAGUACUUUUCACUCCGCGCUGCACAACUUGGAAAACCACUGCAUCCUUAUCUCUUGUCCCCAAAUCAGAGAGUUCAUCUGAAGUUCUGCUCAUCUGCUACUCUCCUCAUCUUCCUCUUGGCCGCACGCAACCAUGGUUGCUCUCGCGUUGUCGGCGGCCGGGCUCGCCGGCUUGGCGUGGUCUGCACUCCGCAUACUCGUCGGCUUGGUGUAGUUCAAUGGUCAGUACCAAAUGUGGAACUCCCUUGCUGCUGGCAACUACUGUUUGCUAUGGUGAAGAAGUGAAGAAUUGAAGAUCGAAACUUUUUUCACCAUACAGCUGCAUUAAGGUAGUUUUAUUUGGUAAGUUCAUUUUUGCAAACACCUCUUGUGUUUUGAUGCUUCUAAAUUAUUAGGAUUUUUUUCACAUGAGCCAAACAACAUGUUUGGUGGGAACCAUAUAUUUGAUGCUAAUACAAGAGAAAGUACUAGUAUGAUUUGACAGCUUGAAUCGACAUGGGAAUUCAGAUUAAGAUCCAACCUUACAAGUUGUAAUGUGAUUGGAAAUUGGUAAAGGUGCUAAUUAAUAUGAAAAAAAAGGUGGGGAUUUUAAUUUAAAUGGGCAAACAUGCUAUAGGGAUAUGUAUCAAUUGUCUGUGCAGUCUCUUCAUGCUGCAUCCCUUGACUUUGUUCAGAAGUUCUGAAAUAACCAGAUGACUGAAGUAAUGAAGCACCUUCAACAUGAUAGUAGUCUGGCAUUUGCAUGUGAUUGUAGUUAGUGGGAAUCUCUGAACGACCCUGAAUCUGUAUAAGGCAAAUAAUAAUCAGUAGCACUAAUAAGAGAGUCUCUUUUGCCAAGUGUGUGUGUGUGUGUAUUUUGAAUCUACUGACCUGCAUCAUGGUGUAUGGCAGUGAUGGUGUUACCACCUCUGCUUGUACUGGACACUUUGAUGUGUUUGAAUCACUCUUUUUCUUUUUACUCCGUUGUGUUGCCUUGUCAAAACCACCAAUUGGUCUCCUCGACCCACGAAUGGCUUUCUCCUUAACCUUUAUGCCUCUUGCUUUACUCGGGCCAACAUUUUCCUCUGUGCCUAUGAUAAAAUAUUUUUGAGAUAGCUGAUUUAGAUUAUAACAUAGUAGUCACUAGCAUAAGUACUAUUCAACUCAGAGUAGCAUACAAACCAGAUUUAUCCAAAUCUGGAUCAUGCCUUAUACUCAAGUAUUUCUCCACAUCUUCUGCUAACUUUUGUGCAUUGUUGGCAGCCAUUAAGUAUGUUUCAUCAGAUUCUGCAGCUCAAGAUGCUAUUUUAACAAACAUUCUGCACAAGUCUCUCCUGCGCGUUGAUAACUUUAUUUUAGGAUCUUCAUGAGUACUACAGUUGCUCUUUAUAUGUAGAGAUUUUGCAUCAAUGGUCCAUCUUUGUAGUAUGUAUUGCUUAUGAAUUUCUUUUAUAUUGUUAACAUCAAGUAUCUUCAAUGCAUGGCAACAUAGGAUUCCGAGAAAUUCAAACUUCUUGCAGCUGCACCUGACUUUACCUUCUGUUGGAGAAAAUUUUACAACAUGCUCAUGGUGCUUACCGUGAACUUUUAAUUUGUACACCAUUUCAGCAUCAAUAUCACCACAGUAGUAUAGGUCACAGUUCAAUGUUUGCAACACUUGUUCCUGAAACACUUUAAAUAUUGUUGGAGUAUAAAUUCUUGUUGCUUGCCUUAAUAUUGUCAAAUCUGCUUUCGGCCAUGGUGUACUUUAUGUUGUCUUAAAGUCAUUUUUGACUUCCUCAUAUCUUUUGUCUGACAACAACCUGUCAAAGUGUUCCAAGAAGGUAAGUAUGUCAUAUUUCACACUGAUAUAGCCCUUCAAUUCAUUGUUCAUGCUCUCACUUCUCUGUGUUCCACUCAUAUCAGUAGAAAAUGUGUUUCUCCCAUACACUAAUGCCCAUUGCUCUUUUUUUUUUGAAAUAGCCUCUCAAGCCAUUUGUUCUCCUGCAGAUCAUACUUUUCAAGCAUUCUAUUCCAUGCAUUUAUAAAUUCAUCUUCCUCCUCUUUGUCAUAAAUACAAUUCUGAAAAUCUUCAUUGAAUUUCUUGUACUCCUUCACAACUCCAGCAAGGUGUUUGCAGGCAUUCUGGUUCAUAUGCCAAACACAAAUUCUAUGAUGACUUUCUGGCAUGACUAACUUGAUUGCUUUGGCCAUUGCUGCGUCUUCAUCAGUCAAUAUAGUCUGUGGCUUCUUUCCAGACAUGGCUUUUAAAAAUGUCUUGAAAAGCCAAACAAAACUAUCAGCAGUUUCAUCAUACAAAAGUGCAGCACCAAAAACAACGCUUUUCUUAUGAUUAUCCACACCAACAAGCAAACCAAAUGGACGACCAUCAUUUAGUUUUCUAUAUGUUGUGUCAAAACAAAGAACAUCACCAAAAACUUCAUAAUCAGCAAUCAUUUUAGAAUCAGUCCAGAAAAUAUUUGUUAUCAAGUCAUCCUCAUCAACUAGAAUGGAAUAGAAAAAAUUAACAUCUUCCGAUGAUUUUUUCUCCAUAUAUUCCAAGACUCCCCCUGUGUCACCUUCGUUUACCUUCAAUGACCUCUUUGAAUAUAAUCUAUUCUUCAUGUCUUCACGAGUAAAUCCAAGAUUCUCAUAUCCACCCGCUUCUUUUGCCAUUAAAUCAAUAGUAGCCUUAUUAGAAAUGCCUACUGAUUUUGCAUUUUCAGCACUUGCCAUCUGUGCUUCAGUUAUUUUCCUUUGAGAUCUUAAGUAGAGGGCCUGACUUCCAGUAGCAAGAAUGUGGUUAUGCUCGUGCAAGAAUUCAUAUAUGCAAUACAAUCCAUCAUCCCUAAGACUUAUUUUCAUGCAUGCUCGGCACAUACAUCGUGUUUCUGGCCUACUAAAACACUGACCGUAAUUUGAAAUUUGGUCUUCUCUUUUAUCAUGACCACGAGUACCUAUUGUUAAAUAAAACUAACUCAGUAUAUGAAUUCUAUAUGAACACUAAACAUUGUAAAUAUAAGUUGGAACUAGUACCUGCACGAGAACAACAAAAUGUCCGAUUCUUUAUUAUGGUGGAAUCUUUCACAUAAUGGUAACUGCUUCUUCGAAUGCUAAAACCCAUGUCUCGAGCAUAGGCAUUAUAGAAAUCAUAUGCCUCUUGUUCACUGUUGAAUUUCAUACCGAUGAUUGGUGCCUUCCCUUUGGAGGGAUCUGCUUGUGGAGUAGCUUCAAUUUUACUAGGAUCUUGAUUAAUAUACCCGUUUUUUAUCUGAGACAAAUUAGAAAAAAAGAAAAACUUUCAUGAAACUUACAGAAAAAAAAGGGCUAAUAGAAAAGAAGCAAAACUUCUAUGAGAUUUACUGAUAUGAUGUGCUUGUAGUGAUCAAGUCUCAAUGAUUACUAAUAAAAGAAAGUGAAAACAUUAUGAAGUCUUACCGUCUCUAAUUCCCCUUCUAGGUUACCAUGAAAGCUUGUCCCUGGAUGAUGCAGUACAAACGUUCCAGCAGAGGCAGCUGGUUCCGUCGGCAUGGUUGUCACUUGUUCAUGCAGUGAAUCGGUGACCUUGAUUGACCUUGGAAGAUUAGAUAGAGAGGCCAUUGUUGUUGCGAAGAAGAUGAUUGUGAUCCGAUAAUAAUGUGCCAUAUGUAAAGCUUAAUCUAUUUUCUGAAAAACUGUCUAAUGGUUUGGCGUCUUAAUUUUUAUUUGGCGCCUUUGUUUCCCUGGAGGGCCACGCUAAUUAGGAUUAAUCGCUAACUGCGUAAUCUGGUGAUUGACGGAGAGAAUAAUCCUGUAAUCUCCGUUUAUGGUGGGGCCACACAAAAAGAAUCGACAAACGGAUGCCCUCCACGUGGUACGAAACACGGAUAGAAACACAACAACGGAACAGUGAAGCCGCAGCCCUUUACAUUGGCCAGGAUUUCCACGCACGUGCCGAAAGUGUCCAAAUGGCAUCGACCGAGACCACAGGGAACAAAGCCACCGGCGAACGACUCCACGCCGGAGUUUGACUCCCUCGCUGGACACAGUCUGGUCCCGUGCAGCACGCAUGACAGUAUCCAGUAUUUCAACACAACAAUCUAUUCGAAUUAUCGAGCUGGAAAACUGAUUAGAAAAAAAAGAAGUACAGAAAACGAGAAUGAGACAGGAGGAUAGAUAGGCCAACGAGGAUAGAAGCUGCUGAACUGAGGCAGUAUGAGGCUGGCAGCAAGUUUCAUUGUCGCUUGCAUCACUGUCUAUCCGUUUAGAGUAUAGACACUCUCUCCACAAUUCCACAUUAUCAGGGUUUGAUAUUUCGGACUGAAAUUUCGAUCAUUUUGCGGACCCCUCCGAUACGAUAUUAUUUGGGCCAAAAUUUUGAUUUUUUUAAUUUUUUAUGAAUUUCGGUAAUAUUUGUUCAAAUUUGACUAAAUUUUGUUCUAAAAUUUGGAAAUUUCAGAAAUUUCGUUAUAUUGGUACUGCCCGAUACAAAGGCCGAAAACGAGAAAGUGAACCCUGAUCAUGACUCGUGAGACUAACCUGAGUUGUUCUCUGAAUUAGUCCAACUGUCCAAGACAAUGAAACUUGCUGCUUCUGUGAUCACUGAUCAGUCAUCAGUCUGUGUACAAUUUCCUGCGUUCAUAAUAUAUAACAGAAUAAGGCAGGUGGAAAAAUGCUGGCCAUAUCAAGGCAACAGGCUGGCAUGGACCGACGAAAACAACACUGGUAACAGGAUAUGAAUGGGCAUGCAGGAAUGGUGCAAAUUUAUGUCCGCUCCUGGAGCUUUUAUAUGUGUGCCGAGCAAGCAUAUAUACAUCUGCAGUACAAUUGGAGCAUCAACCCAAGACAGCAGCAAAAUGAUGAUAUCCACCAAGCAACGCCUCCUCACUCCCAUUCUCAUUCUCCUCAUUUGUUGUUACUCCAUAGUCACUGCAGCCAACAAUGACACAACCGUCCCUUGUCUCCCAGAGCAAGCUUCUUCCCUCCUACAGCUCAAAAAUUCCUUCAUCAAUAAUGCAAACUUAUCGUCAUGGCGAGCUGGAUCGGACUGCUGCCACUGGGAGGGCAUCACAUGUGGUAUGGCCUCCGGCAGGGUCAUUUCCCUUGACCUCAGUGAGUUGAACUUGAUGAGCAAUCGUCUCGAUGCUGCACUCUUUAACCUCACCUCUCUUACAAACCUUAACCUUGCUUCCAAUUACUUUUGGAGAGCCGAACUCCCAGUAUCUGGGUUUGAGAGGCUCACAGAUAUGAUCCACCUCAACUUCUCACACAGCAACUUUUAUGGUCAGAUCCCCAUUGGACUUGCUUGCCUCAUGAAACUUGUCACUCUUGACUUUUCUAGUAAUGAUGGGUUGUAUUUCGAUGAACCAAGUUUCCAAACCGUCAUGGCAAACAUGAGCAACCUGAGGGAGCUCCAUCUUGAUGAGAUAGAAAUUUUCGGAUCAACUUGGUCAGUUGUUUUAGCAGACAACAUUCCUCAACUCGAGAUUCUUAGCUUGUUUGCGUGCCGUAUAUCUGGUCCUAUUCACUCUUCCUUCUCAAGGCUUCGUUCCUUAAAGGUGAUCAACCUUGGAUACAAUUUUGGACUCCCCAGCAAAGUUCCUGAGUUCUGUGCUGAAUUAUCUUCUUUGAGCAUUCUUGAAAUUGCAGGCAAUUCUUUUGAAGGGCAGUUCCCAACAAAAAUCUUCCACCUAAAAAGUUUGAGAACGCUUGAUUUGUCUCAUAACCCCAAUCUUUCUAUUAACCUACCAGAAUUCCCUGAUGGAAAUAAUCUAGAAACACUAGGUCUAGCAGCAACCAAUUUAUCUUAUCACAUACCGUCCUCAUUUGCCAAUCUCAAGUCCUUGAAGCGUUUGGGUAUGAGCACGGCACGAACUUCCAAGGAGCUGCCCUCUUUAUUAGAUAAGCUUCCUUCAUUGACAGAACUGGAAUUGCAAGGAUCGGAAUCAGGCUUGGAGAAGGCGGUAUUAUCUUGGGUAGGCAACCUUAAGCAGCUGACUGCUUUGGAGCUUGUAUCGUACGAUUUCUCUGAAUCGGCACCCUCCUGGAUAGGCAAUUUGACGAAUUUGAAGUUUUUGUGGAUCUGGGACUGCAAUUUCUCUGGGUCAAUAAUACCAUAUCAGAUUGGCAAUCUUGCAAAAUUGGAGACCUUGGACUUUAGAGGGUGCGAGUUCUUUGGACAGCAAAUACCACCGUGGAUCGGUAAUUUUACGAAGUUGGCAAAUUUAGAGAUGGAUAGUUGUGGCUUCUCUGGGUCGAUACCCUCAACAAUAGGGAAUCUGACCCAACUGGAAAGUCUGCGGAUCACAUCUAAUCCCCAACUCAACGGUAAGUCUUUAUACGACGGCUACUUCUUCCUUCAUACAUAUGCAAUUUAAAAUAUCAUCAUAAAAUAAAUUUAUUCAAAAUGCCACCAAGCGAGUGCUGUCGAACACUCAAAAGCUUAAGUAGUAAUAUAUAUAUUUCUGUAUUUUGAUUUGGAACGUGAAAACACACAUAGUAGAUAACAUGAUAGACUGGUAGUGGUGGAGCAAGUUCCACGUUCUGUUUGAUAAUUGUGGCUCGCAUCUAGAUAUUAACAUCCACCUACAGUAAAUCAAUGGCGUCUAUUUUCAAAAACUUACAACAUUUUCCUAUCUACAACUAAUCUAGGAGCUUAGAAAUCUAUUGCUACUAAAAUAUUAUAAUAGAAUGCUAAAAGGAGUAACAUGUUUGUUUUGAGAGCCUAGAAGUUACCAUGUUAAUUGGUGAAAAAAAGAGAAUAAUGCACACGGAUUAAUCGGAACGGGUCCAUAUUAUAUUAUAACAACUAGCAUGGUGCCCCGCACAAAUUGCGCGGCUAGCAUUCUUAUAUUAUAGUAGCAUAUAUUUUUUUUCUUAUUUUUUAUUAAAAUAUCAUAAAUAACAAGAUAAUUUAAAAUUGUACUAACUUGAAUAAACUAUCAAUGUGCAAUAUUCAUAUUAUGUUGUAUAUAUGUGAUAGGUAUUAAUUAUUUUUUUAAUACCGAAUUUUAGUUAUUUCUAAAUUAUAUUGCUAGAUGGACUCUAGACUCCUCUUCCAACAUUCUUUAAUUUUUUUUAAUUAUGAAUUUCUAUAAUUUAUAAAUUGUGUUCCUAUAUUUUUAUUUUAAAUUCAAAUUUUUAGUUAUUUCUAAAUUAUACUCCUAUAUGAACUCUAGACUCCUCUUCCAAUAUUUCAUAUUUUUCAAUUCCGAAUUUCCGUUAUUUAUAAAUUGUGUUUCUAUAUGGACUGUAGACUAUAAUUAUAAUAUUGCUUUUUUAAAAAAAAUGAACUUUUCAUUAUUUCUAAUUUAAUUUCUAUAUAGACUCUAAACUCAUCUUUCGAUAUUAUUUAUUUUUUAAUUUCAAAUUUCAGUUACUUCGGAAUUGUAUUCCUAUAUGGACUCUAGACUAUUGUUCCAAAUUUUAUUUUCUAAUUUCUAAUUUUAGUUAUUUGUAAAUUGUAUUUCCAUAAUUACUCUAAACUCUACUUUUAAUUUUAUUAUUUUUAUUCUGAAUUUUAAUUAAUUCUAAAUUCCUAUAUAGACUUUAUACUCUUCUUCCAAUAUUCCUUAUUUUAAUUCCUAAUUUUUAUUAUUUCUAAAUUUUAUUUCUAUAUAGACUCUAAACUUAUCUUUCAAUAUUUCUUUUUUUUAAUUCUGAAUUUUAAUUAUUUUUAAAUUAUAUUUCUAUAUGGACUCUAUAUUCUUCUUUCAAUAUUCCUUUUUUUAAAUUUCGAUUUUUCGUUAUUUCUAAAUUUUAUUUUCUAUAUGAACUCUAACCUCUAUUUUUAUUUUUCUUAUUUUUUAAUUCCGAAUUUCCAUUAAUUCUAUUGUAUACUGGUUGUAUACUGGUACAGACCCUAGUCUUCUCGUCCUAUAUUCCUUAUUUCUAAUUCUGAAUUUCAGCUAUUUUUAAAUUGUAUUUCUAUAUGAACUCUGUCUAUUUCUUUCUAUCCUAUUAAUAUAAGAAUUUUUAGACCAUGAGAGUGAAUUUUUUUUAUUUCAAAUUUUCGUUAUUUCUAAAUUGUAUUUCUAUAUGAACUCUAACCUCUACUUUUAUUUUUUUUCUUAUUUUUUUAAUUCCGAACUUCCAUUAGUUCUAUUGUAUAAUGGUAUGGACUCUAGUCUUCUCUUACUACAUUCCUUCUUUUUAAUUCUGAAUUUCAGCUAUUUUUAAAUUUUAUCUUCUCUACUUUUAUUUUUAAAUUUUAUUCCUGUAUGGACUCUUUUUUUCCUAUUUCUUCGAUUAAUAUGAGAAUUUCUAGGCCAUAAGAGCGAAUAUGGAGCCUUCUUUUUUAUUUAUUUAAUAAGUUAAAGGGAAGAUGCUUAUUGGUCCAUGGUUUUAUUAUAUAAAAGGGAAAAGCUAAACGUAUGAACAAUUUGUUACCAACUUUUUUACAAACGUUGAUGUGACACAUCCACUACUGCAAAAUUGAUUUUUGGACGAGACCCCCUCCAAGUUGUAGGUGGACCAUAACUACUUUCGCCUGUAAAAAUUGCUCCUUUGAGUACGGUUCAAGGGUCGCAUGCAAAAAUAUAUUUUGCAGAUGACCCUUAAGAGGCCUGCCUGCAAUGUUGCACCUUAAGGGGUCUCUUACGAAAAUAGAUUUUCGCAAGUGAGCAACAUGGAGAGCAAGUGGGCCACACGCGUCACCGCACUACAUUUUUUCAUAUUUUUUUCUCCUCUCCACUCACGCACACUACUUAUUUUCUCUUCUCUCCUUGGCUCCACCUCCCAUCACUCCUCUCCUACUCCCUCUCCUCAUCUCUUUCCCAUUCCCUCCCUUCUCUUCUUCAGCGACUGAGAUGGAGGCGACAGUAGGCUCACUCAGGUGCGAUGUUGACGCGCGUGACGACAGUGCCGGCGACAGCAAAUACAGCAACGACCUCGAGGGCAGCUGAUCCGGUGGCGCCGCCCUAGGCCCCGGGAGGGGCGACGACAAUGGCGGGCGGUGGAUCCGACAGCGCCGUCCUCGAGGGGCAACGACGAGCUCAAAGAGGAUGGGAAGCUAGAGUUUUGGCCGAAAUUGUUUUUGUGGAACUUUUAUUUGUUUUCUCCAAAAUCAUUUUCGCAGCGGUUGGCAUAGGUGACCACGUGAACAUCAUGUUUUUGCAUGCGGUUACUCAACAUGCAUGGGAAAAUGUUGAUUUUCGCAUAUACCUAGGUUCAGGCGGGCCGUCUAGCUGCCUGCGAAAAUUGAUUUUGAUCACAUGCAAAAAAUGAUUUUGUAGUAGUGAUCAUGGUUAAAUCUUUAUUAGUGCCUUCCAAGUAACUAAAUCAAACUUUGUUAGUAGAAUUUUAUAAAAAAUGUUUUAGUAUCUCUAGCAAACAAUUAUAUAUAUAGAACCAAAAGCAAUGCUUCUUUUUAUCAAAUACAAUAUUUUAAAUAAAUGUUAAUGUAACCAUGUGCAAUAUUACGGAAAAUCAGCUUAGUUUGGUUAACUCGGACGAAUGAGUUGUCUUGGUUCAAGUGCGUCCUAAGGUACCAGACUGUCAGUUCAGUGAACAUUCAUCUUUGAACUUUUUGACUAGUAUACUGCACUUGCAUGCAGGGAAAAUUCCACAAUCGUUGUUCGCUCUUCCGAGGCUGGAAAAUGUUUACCUUCAAGAAAACCAGCUUUCUGGUUCACUAGAAGACAUUCCUUACCCUUUAACUUCAUCUCUGUUAUGUAUUGACUUAGCCAACAAUCAACUAUCAGGCCCGAUACCCAACUCACUUUUUCAUCUUACAAAUCUUAAUUAUCUCAUUCUUGAAUCAAAUAAAUUCACAGGCACAGUUGAACUUAGCUCUGUCUGGAAGCAGAAGAAUCUAUUUAUCCUAAGCCUGUCAAACAAUUUGAUAUCACUCAUAGAUGAUGAAGGUUAAACAGUGCCUCCUUAUCUUCCUAACAUCAAGUACUUAUACCUGUCAUCUUGCAACCUUACAAAAAUUCCAGGCACAUUAAAAUAUCUUGAUGCGGUUUCCCUUCUUGACCUUUCGAGUAAUCAAAUAACGGGGGCUAUACCAAAUUGGAUAUGGGAGAAUUGGAAGGGCCACCUUAAUAUUUUGAACCUCUCGUGCAACAUGUUAACUACUUUGGAACAAUCUCCUUCUCUUGUUAAUAUGUCCAAUUUAGCUUAUCUUGAUCUCAGUUUCAAUAGACUUCAAGGAAGCAUACCAAUACCAGUAACCACAUCCAGUGAGAUCGCAUUGGACUACUCAAACAACCACUUCUCUUCAAUAGUACCGAACUUUGGCAUAUAUCUUGAAAACGCCAGCUAUAUUAAUUUCUCCAAUAAUAAACUAAGUGGCAAUGUACCAUCUUCGAUUUGUAAUGCAAGCAAAGCCAUUAUCACGGACUUAUCUGGCAACAACUACAGUGGAUCAGUACCAGCAUGUCUUACAGGAAGUGUAAACUUAAGCGUAUUGAAAUUGAGAGACAACCAAUUCCAUGGGGUGUUACCUAACAAUAGUAGAGAGGGGUGCAAUCUUCAGUCAAUAGAUGUGAAUGGAAACCAAAUUGAAGGUAAACUACCUAGAUCACUAUCAUACUGCCAAUAUUUGGAGCUCCUGGAUGCUGGAAAUAAUCAGAUUGUUGAUUCUUUUCCAUUUUGGUUGGGUAAACUUCCAAAUCUCCGAGUCCUUGUCUUAAGAUCCAACAAACUCAAUGGCACAAUAAGGGGUCUUAAAG